RNAcentral lists this transfer RNA (75 nucleotides) under Patescibacteria group bacterium. Its description in RNAcentral is "tRNA-Glu". It matches the Rfam family "tRNA". From Rfam's summary of the family: Transfer RNA (tRNA) molecules are approximately 80 nucleotides in length. Their secondary structure includes four short double-helical elements and three loops (D, anti-codon, and T loops). Further hydrogen bonds mediate the characteristic L-shaped molecular structure. tRNAs have two regions of fundamental functional importance: the anti-codon, which is responsible for specific mRNA codon recognition, and the 3' end, to which the tRNAs corresponding amino acid is attached (by aminoacyl-tRNA synthetases). tRNAs cope with the degeneracy of the genetic code in two manners: having more than one tRNA (with a specific anti-codon) for a particular amino acid; and 'wobble' base-pairing, i.e. permitting non-standard base-pairing at the 3rd anti-codon position. The record is from RNAcentral.
GGCCCCAUCGUCUAGUGGUUAGGACACCAGGUUUUCAUCCUGGAAACAGGGGUUCGAUUCCCCUUGGGGCUGCCA